This 465-nucleotide ribosomal RNA is filed under the name uncultured bacterium. RNAcentral describes it as "partial 16S ribosomal RNA". It matches the Rfam family "Bacterial small subunit ribosomal RNA", at positions 338 to 795 of the family's 1533-position model. The record is from RNAcentral.
CCUACGGGAGGCAGCAGUAGGGAAUCUUCCACAAUGGGCGAAAGCCUGAUGGAGCAACGCCGCGUGGGUGAAGAAGGUCUUCGGAUCGUAAAACCCUGUUGUUAGAGAAGAAAGUGCGUGAGAGUAACUGUUCACGUUUCGACGGUAUCUAACCAGAAAGCCACGGCGAACUACGUGCCAGCAGCCGCGGUAAUACGUAGGGGGCAAGCGUUAUCCGGAUUGAUUGGGCGUAAAGGGAACGCAGGCGGUCUGUUAAGUCUGAUGUGAAAGCCUUCGGCUUAACCGGAGUAGUGCAUUGGAAACUGUGAGACUUGAGGGCAGAAGAGGAGAGUGGAACUCCAGGUGUAGCGGUGAAAUGCGUAGAUAUAUGGAAGAACACCAGUGGCGAAAGCGGCUCUCUGGUCUGUAACUGACGCUGAGGUUCGAAAGCGUGGGUAGCAAACAGGAUUAGAUACCCUUGUAGUC